This 74-nucleotide transfer RNA is filed under the name Patescibacteria group bacterium. RNAcentral describes it as "tRNA-Lys". It matches the Rfam family "tRNA". Rfam says of the family: Transfer RNA (tRNA) molecules are approximately 80 nucleotides in length. Their secondary structure includes four short double-helical elements and three loops (D, anti-codon, and T loops). The record is from RNAcentral.
GGGUCCGUAGCUCAGUUGGUUAGAGCACCUGCCUUUUAAGCAGGGUGUCGUGGGUUCGAGUCCCACCGGACCCA